AGUUGUUGCAGUUAAAAAGCUCGUAGUUGGAUUUCUGGUAUAAUGCGCCUGGCCCGCGACCGUCAGGUCUGUGAGUGCCGGUGCGCGUUUGCCAUCCUUCUAGAAAACGUUUCUACCCUUAACUGGGCCGGAUUCGCGAUCUAGAUCUUUUACUUUGAAAAAAUUAGAGUGUUUAAAGCAGGCUUUUGCUAUGAAUACAUUAGCAUGGAAUAAUAAUCUAGGACUUCGGUUCUAUUUUGUUGGUUUCUAGUACUGAAGUAAUGAUUGAUAGGGAUAGUUGGGGGUGCUAGUAUUGGCCGGCCAGAGGUGAAAUUCUUGGAUUCGGUCAAGACUAACUUAUGCGAAAGCAUUCACCAAGGAUGUCUUCUUUAAUCAAGAACGAAAGUUGGGGGAUCGAAGACGAUCAGAUACCGUCGUAGUCUCAACCAUAAACUAUGCCGACUAGGGAUGAGUGAACGUUGCAUUUUCGACUUCAUUCGCACCUUAUGAGAAAUCAAAGUCUUUGGGUUCCGGGGGGAGUAUGGUCGCAAGGCUGAAACUUAAAG
This 545-nucleotide ribosomal RNA is filed under the name uncultured Cercozoa. Its description in RNAcentral is "SSU rRNA". It matches the Rfam family "Eukaryotic small subunit ribosomal RNA", at positions 608 to 1149 of the family's 1831-position model. Lineage: Eukaryota; Cercozoa. The record is from RNAcentral.